Small nuclear RNA from Hyaena hyaena (striped hyena), 109 nucleotides. Lineage: Eukaryota; Metazoa; Chordata; Mammalia; Carnivora; Hyaenidae. The record is from RefSeq and is a predicted model, not a curated record.
GUGCUUGCUUAGGCAGCACAUAUACUAAAAUUGGAACGACACGGAGAAGAUCGGCAGGGCCCCUGCUCAAGGAUGACACAAUCCUUCGUAAAAGGAUUGUUAGGUAUUU